AGAACCUUUAAAGACAGUCCCGUGAGGCUGAGAAGGAAACGUACAAAACGUGGGUUUUUUCUACCCUUUUCUACAGAUAAACGUAGGCGUUUUAAUCCUCUCACCUUAGCGGUAGAGGAUUUUUUUAU
The sequence is a regulatory RNA element, 128 nucleotides long. It matches the Rfam family "PyrR binding site". Rfam says of the family: This family represents the PyrR binding site and terminator structure. This RNA structure is found upstream of a variety of genes involved in pyrimidine biosynthesis and transport. The record is from Rfam.